This 389-nucleotide ribosomal RNA is filed under the name uncultured bacterium. Its description in RNAcentral is "bacterial SSU rRNA". It matches the Rfam family "Bacterial small subunit ribosomal RNA", at positions 28 to 417 of the family's 1533-position model. The record is from RNAcentral.
GACGAACGCUGGCGGCGUGCUUAACACAUGCAAGUCGAGCGGUAAGGCCCUUUCGGGGGUACGACGAGCGGCGAACGGGUGAGUAACACGUGGGUGACCUGCCCUCAGCUCUGGGAUAAGCCCGGGAAACUGGGUCUAAUACCGGAUAUGACUCCAUGACGCAUGUUGUGGGGUGGAAAGCCUUGUGCGGCUGAGGAUGGGCCCGCGGCCUAUCAGCUUGUUGGUGGGGUGAUGGCCACCAAGGCGACGACGGGUAGCCGGCCUGAGAGGGCGACCGGCCACACUGGGACUGAGAUACGGCCCAGACUCCUACGGGAGGGCAGCAGUGGGGAAUCUUGCGCAAUGGGCGAAAGCCUGACGCAGCGACGCCGCGUGAGGGAUGACGGCCU